UUAACAAGAGUCAGGAAAUGUAAAAGACCUGCUUGGGCUGCACCAUGAAUCAAGAGGCUCGGAGGUCUGUGAGCAUCCCAGGAUUUGCUACGUGCCAGUGAGACGCUGAGGAUUAGAAAGUGGCUUUUCCACUCACAGCAGUCCAGGGAAGCUUUGCCGUUAUCACCCUGAACCAGAUGGAUUUUGAAGAGUCAAUGGAGAGCAAUUGAGGUGCUGCCGCAUCCUUGCCAGAAGUUAACGGGCCCUGACGCUGCUCAACUCAGUGCUGAGAGGCAUCAGGAGCUUCAGCUCUCAAUCCACAUAAAACAGCAGUUUCCAUUCUCCAGAAGGAAAUGGGAAGAUGUUCUGCUCGGGAUCCCAUCAGAGCGUGGCCCAGAGGAGCUGGUGCUGCUGCCAACCCUCAGCGGUGCCACAGCAGCCAGGCACCAAGAGACAGCGUGGCACUAUGAGCAUAUCCCAGCCCUCAGCCAUGCUGAGCAUGCAUGGAAAUAGCAGUGCUGCAUCUCCUGCUAACCCAGCGGGACAACAAGGGCUGCUUCACGGGGAGGUGACACAGAGGUGGCUGCAGAUGAGGCAGCUCGAGGAGAGAAGCCACCUGCCGAGGCCACCAGCUGUUCCUGUCCCAGAUCUGAGCCAAACUGUGGGUCCCAGACCCAAGAGAGCAAGGCACGGAGCUUGGAUCCAUGAACCUCUGGGAGCCAUUGGAUGGGGAACUCAACUUCAGUGCUCAGAAUGUGUGCUGGGAGGGACUGAGGAGCAGCUGUGGAGCUCUGUGUCUUACCAUCAUUAUGACUGGAGCUCAAAGUCAAACCUGGGGGCUCCAGUCCCUGAAAGAAUCGAAGGUUCCCCCGCCUGCCUCGUUAAACUCCAGCGUGAAAACCGCUCCAGUGAUUUAUGGAGAAUCAAAGCUAAAGCCCCACUCGUUUGCAGAUGUGAUGUUUGGAUUCGAGGUGUUGUUUCAAAGAAAAGUGAUGGAUCAAAACCUGGAGACGAAGUCCAGCCCAGUCCCCAGCAGCAGCCCUGA
Long non-coding RNA from Numida meleagris (helmeted guineafowl), 1024 nucleotides. The record is from Ensembl. Lineage: Eukaryota; Metazoa; Chordata; Aves; Galliformes; Numididae.